Molecule: ribosomal RNA, 411 nt
Filed under: uncultured bacterium
Lineage: Bacteria
Description: bacterial SSU rRNA
Rfam family: Bacterial small subunit ribosomal RNA
Source: RNAcentral
AUUGCGAACGGGUGAGUAACGCGUGGGUAUCUACCUUUGAGUGGGGGAUAACGUUCCGAAAAGGACGCUUAAUACCGCAUUACGUUCCGGGUUUAAAGACCUGGAAACCAAAGCUGGAACCGCAAGGUCUGGCGCUUGAAGAGGAGCCCGCGUCCGAUUAGCUAGUUGGCGGGGUAACGGCCCACCAAGGCGACGAUCGGUAACCGGCCUGAAAGGGCGGACGGCCACACUGGGACUUAGACACGGCCCAGACUCCUACGGGAGGCAGCAGUGGGGAAUUGUUCUACAAUGGGCGCAAGCCUGAUGACGCAACGCCGCGUGGGGGAUAAAGGUCUUCGGAUCGUAAACCCCUGUCGAACGGGACGAAUAGCCUUCGGGUUAAUACCCCGGAGGAAUGACGGUACCGUUAAA